AGCAGCCGCGGUAAUUCCAGCUCCAAUAGCGUAUAUUAAAGUUGUUGCCGUUAAAAAGCUCGUAGUUGAACUUCCAUGGACCCAUGCGGUCUGCCUUACGGCAAGUACUGUGUGGGUUUGUGCUCCUUGGUGGUGAACCAAGAUGUCGUUUAUUCGGUGUCUUGGUAAACCACCUCUGUUACCUUGAGAAAAUUAGAGUGUUCAAAGCAGGCCAAUGCCUGAAUACAUUAGCAUGGAAUAACGAAAUAGGACGUGCGGUUCUAUUUUGUUGGUUUCUAGAGUCGCCGUAAUGAUUAAUAGGGACAGUCGGGGGCAUCAGUAUUCAAUUGUCAGAGGUGAAAUUCUUGGAUUUAUUGAAGACUAACUACUGCGAAAGCAUUUGCCAAGGAUGUUUUCAUUAAUCAAGAACGAAAGUUAGGGGAUCGAAGACGAUCAGAUACCGUCGUAGUCUUAACCAUAAACUAUGCCGACUAGGGAUCGGAUGAUGUUAAUUUUAUAAUGACUCA
This 506-nucleotide ribosomal RNA is filed under the name uncultured organism. Its description in RNAcentral is "bacterial SSU rRNA". It matches the Rfam family "Eukaryotic small subunit ribosomal RNA", at positions 569 to 1078 of the family's 1831-position model. The record is from RNAcentral.